GACGUAGGGGGCCAGCGUUGUUCGGAAUUACUGGGUGUAAAGGGUUCGUAGGCGGUGCGGCAAGUCGGGCGUGAAAUCUUUGGGCUCAACCCAGAGGCUGCUUCCGAAACUGCUGUGCUUGAGUGUGGGAGAGGCGCGUGGAAUUGCAGGUGUAGCGGUGAAAUGCGUAGAUAUCUGCAGGAACACCCGUGGCGAAAGCGGCGCGCUGGACCACUACUGACGCUGAAGAACGAAAGCUAGGGGAGCAAACAGG
RNAcentral lists this ribosomal RNA (253 nucleotides) under uncultured bacterium. Its description in RNAcentral is "partial 16S ribosomal RNA". It matches the Rfam family "Bacterial small subunit ribosomal RNA", at positions 524 to 776 of the family's 1533-position model. The record is from RNAcentral.